UACGGGGGGAACAAGUGUUAUUCAUCUUGAUUGGGCGUAAAGGGCAAGUAAAUGGUUUAUUUAUUAAUUUUAUUUUUAUUUGGUAUGAAAUAAAAAUUUUUAUAAAAAUAACUAGGAUUUAUGGAGGAUGAUAGUGGAAUCUAAUAAUUAGGGUUGAAAUGCGUAAUUUAUUAGAGACCAUCAGCGGGCGAAGGCGACUAUCAAUUGUAAAUUGACAUUGAGGUGCAAAAGCUUAGGGAGCAAACAGG
Molecule: ribosomal RNA, 248 nt
Filed under: uncultured bacterium
Lineage: Bacteria
Description: partial 16S ribosomal RNA
Rfam family: Bacterial small subunit ribosomal RNA
Source: RNAcentral